RNAcentral lists this microRNA precursor (288 nucleotides) under Gossypium raimondii (Peruvian cotton). RNAcentral describes it as "miR8688 stem-loop (gra-MIR8688)". The record is from miRBase by way of RNAcentral. Lineage: Eukaryota; Viridiplantae; Streptophyta; Magnoliopsida; Malvales; Malvaceae.
UUUCAUCAGAAGAGGAUGCUUUAUAAAACUCAUACACAAGCACGAGGAAGAAAAAUGCAGUGGCAUUUCAAUAUAAUCAAGUAAUUCAUUUUACCCAUCUCCACCAAAGACGGUGACCCCGUUACUAUAACCUUCAAUAGAAUUAGGGUGUAACAAGUUUUAGUAACAAGGUUAUUGCCUUUAGUUGAGAUCGAUAAAACGAAUUACUUGAUUAUACUGGAAGACCCCUGUGAUUUUUUUCCUUGAACUCGUGUAUGAUUUUUAUAAAGCAUGCUCAUCUGACGAGGA